GACGAACGCUGGCGGCGUGCCUAAUACAUGCAAGUCGAGCGCAGGAAGCUGACGGAACUCUUCGGAGAGAAGGCAGUGGAAUGAGCGGCGGACGGGUGAGUAACACGUAAGGAACCUGCCUCAAGGAUUGGGAUAACUCCGAGAAAUCGGAGCUAAUACCGGAUAGUUCAACGGACCGCAUGGUCCGCUGAUGAAAGGCGCUUCGGCGUCACCUUGAGAUGGCCUUGCGGUGCAUUAGCUAGUUGGUGGGGUAACGGCCCACAAAGGCGACGAUGCAUAGCCGACCUGAGAGGGUGAUCGGCCACACUGGGACUGAGACACGGCCCAGACUCCUACGGGAGGCAGCAGUAGGGAAUCUUCCACAAUGGACGAAAGUCUGAUGGAGCAACGCCGCGUGAGUGAUGAAGGUUUUCGGAUCGUAAAACUCUGUUGUAAGGGAAGAACACGUACGAGAGGGAAUGCUCGUACCUUGACGGUACCUUACGAGAAAGCCACGGCUAACUACGUGCCAGCAGCCGCCGUAA
Molecule: ribosomal RNA, 524 nt
Filed under: uncultured bacterium
Lineage: Bacteria
Description: partial 16S ribosomal RNA
Rfam family: Bacterial small subunit ribosomal RNA
Source: RNAcentral